GCCGAACCGUCCAAACGUUAUUCGGAAUCACUGGGCUUAAAGGGUGCGUAGGCGGCGCGGAAAGUUGGGUGUGAAAUCCCUCGGCUCAACCGAGGAACUGCGCCCAAAACUGCCGUGCUCGAGGGAGAUAGAGGUGAGCGGAACUUAGGGUGGAGCGGUGAAAUGCGUUGAUAUCCUAAGGAACACCGGUGGCGAAAGCGGCUCACUGGAUCUCUUCUGACGCUGAGGCACGAAAGCUAGGGUAGCGAACGGG
This 253-nucleotide ribosomal RNA is filed under the name uncultured bacterium. Its description in RNAcentral is "partial 16S ribosomal RNA". It matches the Rfam family "Bacterial small subunit ribosomal RNA", at positions 524 to 776 of the family's 1533-position model. The record is from RNAcentral.